CAGUAGCCACGGGAAUACGAAGGGUGCAAGCGUUAAUCGGAAUUACUGGGCGUAAAGCGUGCGUAGGCGGUUUGUUAAGUCUGUUGUGAAAUCCCCGGGCUCAACCUGGGAAUGGCAAUGGAUACUGGCAAGCUAGAGUGUGUCAGAGGAUGGUGGAAUUCCCGGUGUAGCGGUGAAAUGCGUAGAGAUCGGGAGGAACAUCAGUGGCGAAGGCGGCCAUCUGGGACAACACUGACGCUGAGGCACGAAAGCGUGGGGAGCAAACAGGAUUAGAUACCCGAGUAGUCCCUGUCUCUUAUAU
This 301-nucleotide ribosomal RNA is filed under the name uncultured bacterium. Its description in RNAcentral is "partial 16S ribosomal RNA". It matches the Rfam family "Bacterial small subunit ribosomal RNA", at positions 509 to 809 of the family's 1533-position model. The record is from RNAcentral.